CCUACGGGAGGCAGCAGUGGGGAAUAUUGCACAAUGGGCGAAAGCCUGAUGCAGCGACGCCGCGUGAGGGAUGACGGCCUUCGGGUUGUAAACCUCUUUUAGUAGGGAAGAAGCGAAAGUGACGGUACCUGCAGAAAAAGCACCGGCUAACUACGUGCCAGCAGCCGCGGUAAU
This 174-nucleotide ribosomal RNA is filed under the name actinobacterium P4. RNAcentral describes it as "partial 16S ribosomal RNA". It matches the Rfam family "Bacterial small subunit ribosomal RNA", at positions 338 to 524 of the family's 1533-position model. Lineage: Bacteria; Bacillati; Actinomycetota; Actinomycetes. The record is from RNAcentral.